GACGAACGCUAGCGGCGUGCUUAACACAUGCAAGUCGAGCGGUAAGGCUCCUUCGGGAGUACACGAGCGGCGAACGGGUGAGUAACACGUGAGUAAUCUGCCCUUCACUUCGGGAUAACCACCGGAAACGGUGGCUAAUACCGAAUACGACCAGUCUUCGCAUGAGGUGCUGGUGGAAAGUCUUUUCGGUGAAGGAUGUGCUCGCGGCCUAUCAGCUUGUUGGUGGGGUAAUGGCCUACCAAGGCUUCGACGGGUAGCCGGCCUGAGAGGGUGACCGGCCACACUGGGACUGAGACACGGCCCAGACUCCUACGGGAGGCAGCAGUGGGGAAUAUUGGACAAUGGGCGAAAGCCUGAUCCAGCAACGCCGCGUGAGGGAUGACGGCCUUCGGGUUGUAAACCUCUUUCAGUACCGACGAAGCGCCCUGUCGGGUGGUGACGGUAGGUACAGAAGAAGGACCGGCCAACUACGUG
RNAcentral lists this ribosomal RNA (474 nucleotides) under uncultured bacterium. Its description in RNAcentral is "partial 16S ribosomal RNA". It matches the Rfam family "Bacterial small subunit ribosomal RNA", at positions 28 to 507 of the family's 1533-position model. The record is from RNAcentral.